This is a long non-coding RNA of Myotis brandtii (Brandt's bat), 738 nucleotides long. RefSeq lists it as uncharacterized. Lineage: Eukaryota; Metazoa; Chordata; Mammalia; Chiroptera; Vespertilionidae. The transcript is spliced from 3 exons. The record is from RefSeq and is a predicted model, not a curated record.
CAGUUUCUUGAUCUUGGCCUUCAUAGUCUCAAUACCGUGAAAAAUCAAUUUCUGUUGUUUAUAAGCCACACAGUAUAUGGCAUUCUGUAAUAACAGCACAAAUGGAGUAAGACGGGAAGAGCUAUAGAAAUUGAGAUUGUGCAGUUUUCACAUGCAAGCUAUGGUGGCCACUGUUAUAGACUAUGCACACAUUUCCCCUUCUUUACUAACAAGUCUGAUUUUUGCCUGGGAAGGCAUCAAAUGGCAGUUCUGACCAAUGAAGUUGAGGGUUUCUGGGAAAACUCGUACUUUCUUGAUGUAAGCAUUAUUCCGUUUCCUUUUUGCCUUUUAAUCAUCCUCUCUUCUUCCUGCCUGACACCUGGACAAGAGGAUGGAGGUGGAGCAGCAAUCUUGCAUCUUGUGGCAACAGGCAUCAAGAUAGGCCUACAUGCUAAGAAUGAUGGAAUGAAAAUACAAGCCUAGGUUGACUACACUGGACUUCCUUUUUGUCACAUAGACUGAAGUUGGAACAAUAUAGAGAUUAGCGUGGUUCCCGCACAAGGAUGAUACACAGGCAACACAACUAGAACAAGAUAUUUUCAACUGCUAAAGGACCCAAACUGGAUGAAUUGAUAUAAGGCAAUGUGACAGGUAGCUCUUAACAAGUAUAACAGAAAUUAUAUAUCCACAUAAGUGUUGUUUCUUUCAAAAUAAUCAACCCCUGAGUUACAAAGUUAUAUAUAAAGAAUAUAUAGCCCU